RNAcentral lists this non-coding RNA (28 nucleotides) under Bombyx mori (domestic silkworm). Lineage: Eukaryota; Metazoa; Arthropoda; Insecta; Lepidoptera; Bombycidae. The record is from RNAcentral.
UGACCUUUGCGCAGACAGUUGAAGUACA